AUGGAUAUCUUUUCAGUUUUUCUCUUCUACAGUCUGGCAUCUGCUGUCUCUGGAAACGUCAUCACACCAGACAAAACAGAGCUUUUUGCUGAGGAGGGUUCAAGUGUUACAUUAUCCUGUAGUUAUUCCUCUGCAGAUUAUCUAUACUGGUACCGUCAAUAUCCUGGUUCCACUCCUGAAUUUCUUGAGCUCAUCGUUGAUGGUACAACAACCACCAAAAAGUCUGAUGUAGAUCCAAGACUCUCAGUUAAACUCACUAAACGAGAACAAAAGCACGUGGAUCUGGAGAUCACCUCUGCUACGGUAUCAGACUCUGCUCUGUAUUACUGUGCUCUGAGGCCCACAGUCACAGGAAACAUUUGGUUUCCCUACAAAAACCCCAGUGAGAGAGAGUAAGAAUAGAGCAGAUGCAGUGAGUCUUAAAGGGGUCAUAUGAUGCUGCUAAAAAGAACAUUAUUUUGUGUAUUUGGUGUAAUUAAAUGUGUUUACGUGGUUUAAGGUUAAAAAAACACAUUAUUUUCCACAAACUGUACAUUACUGUUUCUCCUCAAUUCCCCACCUUAUGAAACCCAUCGAUUUUUACAAGGCUCAUUGGUCUAAAAACGUGAGGUGUCCUGUGAUUGGCCAGCUAUCCAGUACAUUGUGAUUGGCCGAGUACCUCAACCGAUGGAAAUGUUAUGUCCCGUAACAUAUUGUGAUGCCCUGUCCGGCUGGAGUGACGAGAAAUAAACAUUG
Molecule: non-coding RNA, 735 nt
Organism: Carassius carassius (crucian carp)
Lineage: Eukaryota; Metazoa; Chordata; Actinopteri; Cypriniformes; Cyprinidae
Source: the annotation of a RefSeq genome assembly